UGGCCAGACUCCUACGGGAGGCAGCAGUGGGGAAUAUUGCACAAUGGGGGGAACCCUGAUGCAGCGACGCCGCGUGAAGGAAGAAGUAUUUCGGUAUGUAAACUUCUAUCAGCAGGGAAGAAAAUGACGGUACCUGACUAAGAAGCCCCGGCUAACUACGUGCCAGCAGCCGCGGUAAUACGUAGGGGGCAAGCGUUAUCCGGAUUUACUGGGUGUAAAGGGAGCGUAGGCGGCGAUGCAAGUCAGAAGUGAAAGCCCGGGGCUCAACCCCGCGGAUUGCUUUUGGAACUGUCAGGCUGGAGUGCAGGAGGGGCAGGCGGAAUUCCUGGUGUAGCGGUGAAAUGCGUAGAUAUCAGGAGGAACACCGGUGGCGAAGGUGGCCUGCUGGACUGUGACUGACGUUGAGGCCCGAAGGCGUGGGGAGCAAACAGGAUUAGAUACCCUUGUAC
This 449-nucleotide ribosomal RNA is filed under the name uncultured bacterium. Its description in RNAcentral is "bacterial SSU rRNA". It matches the Rfam family "Bacterial small subunit ribosomal RNA", at positions 328 to 793 of the family's 1533-position model. The record is from RNAcentral.